Molecule: ribosomal RNA, 432 nt
Filed under: Klebsiella pneumoniae
Lineage: Bacteria; Pseudomonadati; Pseudomonadota; Gammaproteobacteria; Enterobacterales; Enterobacteriaceae
Description: bacterial SSU rRNA
Rfam family: Bacterial small subunit ribosomal RNA
Source: RNAcentral
CCUACGGGUGGCAGCAGUGGGGAAUAUUGGACAAUGGGCGCAAGCCUGAUCCAGCCAUGCCGCGUGAGUGAUGAAGGCCCUAGGGUUGUAAAGCUCUUUUGUGCGGGAAGAUAAUGACGGUACCGCAAGAAUAAGCCCCGGCUAACUUCGUGCCAGCAGCCGCGGUAAUACGAAGGGGGCUAGCGUUGCUCGGAAUCACUGGGCGUAAAGGGUGCGUAGGCGGGUCUUUAAGUCAGGGGUGAAAUCCUGGAGCUCAACUCCAGAACUGCCUUUGAUACUGAAGAUCUUGAGUCCGGGAGAGGUGAGUGGAACUGCGAGUGUAGAGGUGAAAUUCGUAGAUAUUCGCAAGAACACCAGUGGCGAAGGCGGCUCACUGGCUCGAUACUGACGCUGAGGUGCGAAAGCGUGGGGAGCAAACAGGAUUAGAUACCC